CUCCCCUCCCCUCCCAACAACAUACAUCCCUGUAACAAAAAAUGCUUGUAAUUAAGCAGUCUGGUAAAAGUCUACGUAUGACUCAAGUGGCAUAGUGCGCUGAUGUUGGCAAUGAUCAACCAUGAAGUAAAUAAUUAAUGCUGUUCCUGUUAUCUAGUUGUCAGGUUCUUGUAUGUACCCUUGUUUGCUCAGUAAUUUAAUUAUCCAUGUAAAGCGAACAUUUAGAACAAGUAAUUAUAAGAAACAAAAUAUACACAAUAAAUAAAAGGUCAUUGCCAACAUCACAGCACCACGCUGCCUGAGCUAUAAGUAAAAUUUAACCAGUACUCUAUUAUCUGUUAAUGUCAGCAGUCUAAUAUAAUAUUCUGUUUGCAGGUUCAACUGUUCAAAAGCCACCAGCAAUAAGAAAUACAGAGGCUGUAGCAGAUUCAUCCCCCAUUACAGCAUGUGCCCUACAGAAGAGCCCGACGAAUCGCUCAACUCCCAUGAUUCAGCCAAUAGCAAAAUGGGCUGAGGUGGUAUCUGGUCCGUCUCUCGCUACACCGUAUGUGCUGAAACGCAGCCCGAGGAAUAGCUCAACUUCCAAAAUUCAACCAAUACCAAAACAGGCUGUGGUGGUACCACAUCCAUCCAUCUGUACAGUGUGUGUGUUGCUACACAGCUCAAGAAAUGGUGCUGUUCUCCCACAUUUAAACCAGUGACAGGGCAGGAUAAGAUGGUAUCAGUGCCUUCCCUUGCUACAGCACAUGUGCUACAAGACGGCUAUGGAAAGCAACCUGUGAUGCCAGGAAAAUCACAGAUAAACUGUAUCAUGUGCCAGAUGUCGAGCACCAUUGUGUUUGGAAGUUCCAUUGUUCUGUGUGCAAACGGUUUUGGAAGUUUGGAUGAAUCAAGUUUCUGAAAAUGACUGGAAAGAAACUUAAUUAUCAAAAACUAAGAUUUUAUUGCAGUUCAUGAUACUGUGAAAUAUUUUUAUAAUUGCAGUACAUUCAGCUAAAAGUUACAGUAAAAUUUUCU
This is a long non-coding RNA of Schistocerca nitens (vagrant locust), 1017 nucleotides long. RefSeq lists it as uncharacterized. The transcript is spliced from 5 exons. The record is from RefSeq and is a predicted model, not a curated record. Lineage: Eukaryota; Metazoa; Arthropoda; Insecta; Orthoptera; Acrididae.